This 707-nucleotide ribosomal RNA is filed under the name uncultured Enterobacteriaceae bacterium. RNAcentral describes it as "bacterial SSU rRNA". It matches the Rfam family "Bacterial small subunit ribosomal RNA", at positions 794 to 1502 of the family's 1533-position model. The record is from RNAcentral. Lineage: Bacteria; Pseudomonadati; Pseudomonadota; Gammaproteobacteria; Enterobacterales; Enterobacteriaceae.
GUCACGCUGUAAACGAUGUCGAUUUGGAGUUUGUUGCCUAGAGUGAUGGGCUCCGAAGCUAACGCGAUAAAUCGACCGCUGGGGAGUACGGCCGCAAGGUUAAAACUCAAAUGAAUUGACGGGGGCCCGCACAAGCGGUGGAGCAUGUGGUUUAAUUCGAUGCAACGCGAAGAACCUUACCUGGUCUUGACAUCCAUAGAAUUCUGCAGAGAUGUGGGAGUGCCUUCGGGAACUAUGAGACAGGUGCUGCAUGGCUGUCGUCAGCUCGUGUUGUGAAAUGUUGGGUUAAGUCCCGCGACGAGCGCAACCCUUAUUCUUUGUUGCCAGCGAUUUGGUCGGGAACUCAAAGGAGACUGCCGUUGAUAAAGCGGAGGAAGGUGGGGACGACGUCAAGUCAUCAUGGCCCUUACGACCAGGGCUACACACGUGCUACAAUGGCGUAUACAAAGGGAAGCGAAGGUGCGAGCUGGAGCGGAUCUCAUAAAGUACGUCUAAGUUCGGAUUGGAGUCUGCAACUCGACUCCAUGAAGUCGGAAUCGCUAGUAAUCGUAGAUCAGAAUGCUACGGUGAAUACGUUCCCGGGCCUUGUACACACCGCCCGUCACACCAUGGGAGUGGGUUGCACCAGAAGUAGAUAGCUUAACCGCGAGGGGGGCGUUUACCACGGUGUGAUUCAUGACUGGGGUGAAGUCGUAACAAGGUAACCA